This 440-nucleotide ribosomal RNA is filed under the name uncultured bacterium. RNAcentral describes it as "partial 16S ribosomal RNA". It matches the Rfam family "Bacterial small subunit ribosomal RNA", at positions 338 to 795 of the family's 1533-position model. The record is from RNAcentral.
CCUACGGGAGGCAGCAGUGGGGAAUAUUGGGCAAUGGGCGAAAGCCUGACCCAGCAACGCCGCGUGAAGGAAGAAGGCUUUCGGUAUGUAAAGCUCUAUCAGCAGGGAAGAAAAUGACGGUACCUGACUAAGAAGCCCCGGCUAAAUACGUGCCAGCAGCCGCGGUAAUACGUAUGGGGCAAGCGUUAUCCGGAUUUACUGGGUGUAAAGGGAGCGCAGGCGGCCUGCCAAGUCUGGUGUGAAAACCCGGGGCCCAACCCCGGGCCUGCAUUGGAAACUGGCGGGCUGGAGUGUCGGAGGGGCAGGCGGAAUUCCUAGUGUAGCGGUGAAAUGCGUAGAUAUUAGGAGGAACACCGGUGGCGAAGGCGGCCUGCUGGACGAUGACUGACGCUGAGGCUCGAAAGCGUGGGGAGCAAACAGGAUUAGAUACCCCGGUAGUC